Molecule: non-coding RNA, 29 nt
Filed under: Cricetulus griseus (Chinese hamster)
Lineage: Eukaryota; Metazoa; Chordata; Mammalia; Rodentia; Cricetidae
Source: RNAcentral
AUUUAAAAGAUUGUAAAGGGAGAGACAGC